This 253-nucleotide ribosomal RNA is filed under the name uncultured bacterium. Its description in RNAcentral is "partial 16S ribosomal RNA". It matches the Rfam family "Bacterial small subunit ribosomal RNA", at positions 524 to 776 of the family's 1533-position model. The record is from RNAcentral.
UACGGGGGGGGCAAGCGUUGUUCGGAAUUACUGGGCGUAAAGGGCUUGUAGGUGGCCAACUAAGUCAGACGUGAAAUCCCUCGGCUUAACCGGGGAACUGCGUCUGAUACUGGAUGGCUUGAGUGUGGGAGAGGGAUGCGGAAUUCCAGGUGUAGCGGUGAAAUGCGUAGAUAUCUGGAGGAACACCGGUGGCGAAGGCGGCAUCCUGGACCGACAUUGACGCUGAGGCGCGAAAGCCAGGGGAGCAAACGGG